Molecule: ribosomal RNA, 342 nt
Filed under: Thalassiosira rotula
Lineage: Eukaryota; Bacillariophyta; Thalassiosirophyceae; Thalassiosirales; Thalassiosiraceae
Description: partial Bacterial small subunit ribosomal RNA
Rfam family: Bacterial small subunit ribosomal RNA
Source: RNAcentral
AUGGAGAGUUUGAUCCUGGCUCAGGACGAACGCUGGCGGCGUGCUUAACACAUGCAAGUCGAGCGACGCGCCUUCGGGUGACGGAGCGGCGAACGGGUGAGUAACACGUGGGCAACCUGCCCUCAGCUCUGGGACAACUCCGGGAAACCGGGGCUAAUACCGGAUACGACCUCGGAGGGCAUCUUCUGGGGUGGAAAGUUCUUCGGCUGGGGAUGGGCCCGCGGCCUAUCAGCUUGUUGGUGGGGUGAUGGCUCACCAAGGCGACGACGGGUAGCCGGCCUGAGAGGGCGACCGGCCACACUGGGACUGAGACACGGCCCAGACUCCUACGGGAGGCAGCAG